GCUUAAUACAUGCAAGUCGAGGGGCAGCACGGACUUCGGUCUGGUGGCGACCGGCAAACGGGUGCGGAACACGUACGCAACCUUCCCAAAACUGGUGAAUAGCCUUCCGAAAGGGAGAUUAAUACACCGUAACUUAAUGAUGUGGCAUCACAUUAUUAAUAUAGCUCCGGCGGUUUUGGAUGGGCGUGCGCCUGAUUAGGUAGUUGGUGAGGUAACGGCUCACCAAGCCUGCGAUCAGUAACUGGUGUGAGAGCACGACCAGUCACACGGGCACUGAGACACGGGCCCGACUCCUACGGGAGGCAGCAGUAAGGAAUAUUGGUCAAUGGACGCAAGUCUGAACCAGCCAUGCCGCGUGAAGGGUUAAGGCCCUCUGGGUUGUAAACUUCUUUUAUAGGGGACGAAAAAAGAGAAUUCUUUCUCACUUGACGGUACCCUAGGAAUAAGCACCGGCUAACUCCGUGCCAGCAGCCGCGGUAAUACGGAGGGUGCAAG
RNAcentral lists this ribosomal RNA (495 nucleotides) under uncultured Bacteroidota bacterium. Its description in RNAcentral is "bacterial SSU rRNA". It matches the Rfam family "Bacterial small subunit ribosomal RNA", at positions 46 to 538 of the family's 1533-position model. Lineage: Bacteria; Pseudomonadati; Bacteroidota. The record is from RNAcentral.